CAAGUUAACACGAAAAUCUAUAAAAGCGUUGUACACUGACAGUUUCGUCGCGGGGAAGUUCCAUUCUUCGGAAUCAUUCGCGAGGAUGGAAAAAAAAUAUUUCUUCGUAAAAAUAUCACUUCGUCGAGAAAUCCUAGACUCUUCUGUUCGUCCUCUGGUUGGUUAAAAAAAGAAAAAAAAUGUUUUAAAAUCUUUUCUAUUCUACGCGCGAGACCCUAAUUGCUGGGGGGGAAGAGGGCACGUAUAAAUCAGGAUUUUACGGUGGUCAGGAUGGUGGUCACAACGGAUGACACCGAGGUGUUACCAGUUGACAAAAUCUCUCGAGACAGUGGGAUGGUGGGAACGAGGAAUUCCGAUUCUAUGAGCUGUGAUCACCAGAAGACACGUUGGAAGAAACCCGCCUCUCUCGUCACGCUCGCUUCCGCCAUAAUUCGGUUCGGCCGACAGCUCGGAAUGUUUAUACCUUGUGGAUACUUUACCUGGCCAAGAGAUGCUUUAAACCUGUGAUAUAUAAACGAGUGGUCGACUAAUCCCUUCCACUCUUCUGCGGGCCCACCAUCUCUUCGGGUUCACCAUCUCUUCGAAAAUAGCUUCUCUUUGAAAUAUAUAUAAUCAUUUUAUCUUUCCUUAAGAAUUCGAAAAGAAGAUUUUCUUCCCGUAAUUUGAAGAUUGUUAUAAAGCAGUUACGCAUCAUUUAAAAGAAGAAAGUUUGGCUUUAACGUCACUAAGUUAAUAACGGUACUUUUUCCCUUUUUUUACUUUCGAUCCCUAAAGAGAAAUUACGCGAGACUCUGCAUUACAGACAUCGAAUUGCUGAAUAUAAAAAAGCAUGGAAUAAUUCUAAACCCAUUAACAACAGUGCACGCACGCAUUUUCACGAAAUUUAUUUUCGACGCGUGUUUCUCAAAAAAAAAAAAAAAAAAAUAAAACAAACUUGACAAACAGCUCGCUGCAUUCGCUGACCUGCGCGCUCAAUAUCCAGCAAGAAAAUCGUAUUCAAAUUCCUGAGCACACUUAAAGCAGAGAAAAUGUCUAAACCCAUUACAACAACCCGCGCGUAUUUCCAUAAAUUUCACUUUUGACGGGCGUUUCUUAAAAGGAACGAAGUUUCCAUAAAUUGCGCGGGGCGAUAAAUUAGAUCAUCAUUAGCCCGUAAUUUACAGAGGAGGAAACGCGUAUUUCGUACGUAUACCAAUACGAAAACACGUUUCAUAAUCACGUUUGCGUUUUCUUGUUUUCAGAGAGGGGAAACGCCAACCGCUUGACGCUCGGUCGCGGCAUUAUUCAGAAACGUGUGUUUCCGCGUGUUUCUACGUGCUCUCGUUAAUCCUGUGAUUAAUGCUACUUUUGCAACGCGCCCGGCGAAAGAGAAGCCGCGCUGUAACAACGGAGUGGGCCAAGUUAUCCGGGCAAAAGCGAGGCCAACAAACACCGCUGCUUUGUGGCAAUUACUUUUAAAUAUACUCUUGACGAGAUGGCCGCUCGCUCCACCGCGUGUACAACCUCCACCUUCGUUGGUUAAAAGUGCACCAAGGAUAGGAGGGUGGUUCUCUUCACCGCCGAGAAACGCCAACGUUGGAGGACGCAACAACCAAUUGUGUGUACGUAUGAGAGAGGGAAAGAGAGAGAGAGCCUUUCUGGAAAUUAAACUCAUUGAGAAUCUAAUUUCGAGUAAUCAACCCUUCGCCGGCUUUCCACCUAUACUUUCCGAGGACUUGUUUCCUUUCACCGCCCUGUAUAUGUAUAUUCUUCGUUCCACAACUCGGACAGCUGCGGGGGGGGAACGAAUGCACGUGUAAUUAACCUAACGACGCAAAUGAUAUAAAGGAAUCGUAGUAUAUCCCGGAGGCGUGUUGUUCCUUUUUACCUUACAAGAGCGGGAAUAGUUUCGAGUUUCCGUUCUUUUUCCGUAAUUUGAACCGCGGUGCACGAUUACCACCGGGGCGACCGAUAACAGUAAUUAUCGUCCCGGGAAUAUACGCGGGAAUCGGAUAUCGUCGAUAAAAGAAUAAUUCAGGUGAAUUUGCCCUUUUGUACGUACGCACGCAUCCAGUUAUUGAUCGAAAAGUAAUUAAAAUGUAAUAGUACAAACAGAACGGAUGGAAACCGGCCGGAUAUAAAUCAAAUAUUGAUUCGUUAAAUACGCCGAUUUUCAUUCGGGGGAGGGAGGGGGGUGGCUCACGUUAGGAUCACUCGCGAUAACGAUUCCUUUGUUCGAUUCUCGAUGGUGGUGAUGAUGGCGCUCCCGUGUUAAUGCGUCCACGAUUAACGCGAUUAAACCCGGAUUCGAUCCUUUCUUUUCGAUUAACCAUUGGGAGGAAGACGAACGGUUAACGAUGGCCGGCCGUUCACGUUCUAUAAAGCCAUUAUAUAAGGAGGAGGGUUAAGCGAAUGCGCGCCGUGAUUCCUCGGGACAUCCUCGCACCGUUCUUCGUUACACGGCUAAUAAAUAAGAUGUACGCGGCCGCUUGCUCGCGCGGUACAACAUCAUGGCGGCGUGCACGGCGCGAUUUCAAUAUUCCCGUCCCGAACUGGUAUUUGUAUCGGGCGGGUAUACACGCGACAGGGCCGAUUCGUAAUAAUUUACAACGGAGAAUUAAUUUUAUAGAAAGGGAAACGGGUGUGUAUGCGGCGUCCACCUCAUUUACAUAACAUGAAUAAUUAUUAAUAGUUCCUCGUUCGACCUCUCUCUCUCUCUUUCUCUCUCUUUCGCUCUUUCUGUUCGUGAAUCGAUACAGGAUUCCUUUUCACGUGUCCGUCUUAACGUGUAACGCUUAACAACAUCGUGGAGUGAAUUUAUUGGAAGAGAAAGGGAAAGAGAAAUUGGAGAUUUGUAUUUUGUAUUUGUAUUUGUAUACAACUCGGAUCCCCUAAUUUAUAUUUCCACAGUUUCAGAAUCAUUGGUUCUUCUCGCAUCGAGCGUUUCGCGGUUUCAUCGUGUUUCGGUUUGAAAAAGAAUAUAAACGCGGACGUUUCGGAGAGGAAUAAUUGCAUAUCGAUAUACGACGCAUAAAACGACGGCAAUAACGCCUAAUUGAAUAACGAGAGGGAGCGCGCGCCAGGAUAUUGUUGUAUGGGAUAUGGGUGAAGUUGAGCGUGCAUUAUAGAAAGGUCAAACUGGGAAACGGUUGGAAAUGAUUCGCAGACAACGAUAAUAUCGUUUAACGGUUCAUCGAAUAUCGUAAUCAACAAUUGAACAAGAUAAUCACGUAACGAUAUUUAAUUACCUGCGCAUUAUCGUGGCGCAAGCCCUUACAAAACGAAACGUGACAACCGGGCCGGUCUCUGCUCUUUCACCCGCCCCCUUUCCGCCUGAUUUGUUUUGAAUAUUUUAAAUCCACGGCCGGGAUAGCGCAUGAUUAUGCGGUUAAAUAAUAAUAACGCUUAUCUUUUGUACACGUGUCAUCGAUGUUUCACAUCCGCAAUUGAUGAUCGCCAAUUCGAUUAAGCAAAAAGGUUUCGAAAACUGACGUUUCAUAUUUCCACGUUUCGCUUCAGCCACUUCGGUCGGAAACCAAUGAUUAAUUUUCUUCGUAACGGCAUCAUCAACGAUGCGAGUUAAUUCCGAUGGAUCGACUCUUCCGGAG
Long non-coding RNA from Apis cerana (Asiatic honeybee), 3587 nucleotides. RefSeq lists it as uncharacterized. NCBI's taxonomy places the organism in Eukaryota, Metazoa, Arthropoda, Insecta, Hymenoptera, Apidae. The record is from RefSeq and is a predicted model, not a curated record.